UACGAAGGGUGCAAACGUUGCUCGGAAUUAUUGGGCGUAAAGCGCACGUAGGCGGCUAUCUAAGUCGGAUGUGAAAUCCCUCGGCUUAACCAAGGAAGUGCACCCGAAACUGGAUAGCUUGAGUACAGAAGAGGAUCGCGGAAUUCCCGGUGUAGAGGUGAAAUUCGUAGAUAUCGGGAGGAACACCAGUGGCGAAGGCGGCGAUCUGGGCUGAUACUGACGCUGAGGUGCGAAAGCGUGGGGGGCAAACAGG
This 253-nucleotide ribosomal RNA is filed under the name uncultured bacterium. Its description in RNAcentral is "partial 16S ribosomal RNA". It matches the Rfam family "Bacterial small subunit ribosomal RNA", at positions 524 to 776 of the family's 1533-position model. The record is from RNAcentral.